GCUUCGGUAGCUCAGCGGUAGAGCGUGAGAUUCUUACAGUCCCCUCUGACCGGGUAAGAUUCUUGAGGUUGUGGGUUCGACUCCCGCCUGAAGCA
This is a non-coding RNA of Hysterangium stoloniferum, 95 nucleotides long. NCBI's taxonomy places the organism in Eukaryota, Fungi, Basidiomycota, Agaricomycetes, Hysterangiales, Hysterangiaceae. The record is from the annotation of a GenBank genome assembly.